CCAGCACAAGCUCAAUAAUUCUGGAGUAGAUGCCCUUAACAACAAGCAGAUGAAAGAUUUACCCUUCUUUUUGAACUUAUGGAAGCUGCUCGCUUGCUCCGGAUAAGGAGCCUCUUUGACCUAACCAGUGUAGCUAUUGUUGACAUGAUCACUGGAAAGACUGAUGAUGAGCAAAUUCUUAAAAUCAUGAAGCUAAAGAGUGGUUUUACUAUUAAAGAGGUGGCAGACAUACACAGAACAAAAGGCUGGGCAUUCAGCUGAAGUUGUUGAC
Molecule: long non-coding RNA, 271 nt
Organism: Erigeron canadensis
Lineage: Eukaryota; Viridiplantae; Streptophyta; Magnoliopsida; Asterales; Asteraceae
Exons: 3
Source: RefSeq, a predicted model, not a curated record